Molecule: transfer RNA, 83 nt
Filed under: bacterium
Lineage: Bacteria
Description: tRNA-Tyr
Rfam family: tRNA
About the family: Transfer RNA (tRNA) molecules are approximately 80 nucleotides in length.
Source: RNAcentral
GGAGAGAUAGCGAAGUGGCCAAACGCGACGGGCUGUAAACUCGUUGACUCACGUCUUCGAAGGUUCGAAUCCUUCUCUCUCCA